UUUGGGUCUGCCUUCAUACAUUUAAGCCAGAUUUGUGAAGACUAGUGUUUAAUGAUUCUGAUCCAACAAGAGCAGGACUUCCCUGGUAGUCCAGUAGUUAGGACUCAGUGCUUCCACUGCAGGGAGUACUGGUUCGAUCCCUGGUUGGGGAACUAAGAUCCCACAUCCUUCAGGGAACAGCCAAAAACCAUGAACAGUCUGAUACAUGAAAUGAAUUGGGGUAAAAACAGAUCAGGAGUUGGCAGGACAUGGGUAACUUUUUCAACACCUAAACACUUCUCCAAAAGUUAUAGAAUUCUUUCAUGAGGAUCCUGCAGAUUGGGAUAUUUUGAAUCUCUAAAAGACAGGAGCCCCCACUGCAUCAGUAGAUUGCUUCCCACAUGGUAGGCCCUCAGUAAAUGUUUAUUGAAUUAAAUUGCUGUUUUUGUGGUUGAGCUCUCAUUUCAGGUGGCCUUGGGGACCAUAGACUCACAGGAGAUGUUACUCAAGGGACUUCCUUGAGAACUUCAUAAACAAGGACCUGGAGUCACCAGAUAAUGAAUUAAUAGGAUUUUGGAUGAACAACCCCAGCCCCAGGCUCACUUGGCAAAAUAAAGUGGAAAUUUCAGAUGUUUUUUUCCAUAAAUUUAUAAGGGAUGUCAUAAUAACCAAGGCCAGAAGCACAAUCUGUGGUGAGAACAGAAGAACAUAGGACAUAAAGGAAAAAAAACUCCAAAGCAAAUCAUACACCCUUCACUGUCGUCUUCAGAAUAUGGAUGAAAGGGUGGGUUCCCAGAGUCUCCUGUAAAAUGAGAAUUUGAAAUGUGAACCCAAGGCUAAUGGAUUCAUUUAAUUUUUUUAAUAAGGGGAAGCAGAUAGCUCCCUUGAGGGGGCAGUUUUUUGGUUUU
This 887-nucleotide long non-coding RNA is filed under the name Bos mutus (wild yak). RNAcentral describes it as "lncRNA (ENSBMUG00000004927.1)". Lineage: Eukaryota; Metazoa; Chordata; Mammalia; Artiodactyla; Bovidae. The record is from RNAcentral.